RNAcentral lists this ribosomal RNA (280 nucleotides) under uncultured bacterium. RNAcentral's name for it is "partial 16S ribosomal RNA". It matches the Rfam family "Bacterial small subunit ribosomal RNA", at positions 15 to 298 of the family's 1533-position model. The record is from RNAcentral.
GAUCCUGGCUCAGGAUGAACGCUGGCGGCGCGCCUAACACAUGCAAGUCGAACGGCACCCCUCUCCGGAGGGAAGCGAGUGGCGAACGGCUGAGUAACACGUGGAGAACCUGCCCCCUCCCCCGGGAUAGCCGCCCGAAAGGACGGGUAAUACCGGAUACCCCCGGGCGCCGCAUGGCGCCCGGGCUAAAGCCCCGACGGGAGGGGAUGGCUCCGCGGCCCAUCAGGUAGACGGCGGGGUGACGGCCCACCGUGCCGACAACGGGUAGCCGGGUUGAGAG